ACGGAAGGCAGCAGUGAGGAAUAUUGGUCAAUGGACGAGAGUCUGAACCAGCCAAGUAGCGUGAAGGAUGACUGCCCUAUGGGUUGUAAACUUCUUUUGUUCGGGAAUAAAGUCAGGGACGUGUCCCUGUUUGUAUGUACCGUUCGAAUAAGCAUCGGCUAAUUCCGUGCCAGCAGCCGCGGUAAUACGGAAGAUGCGAGCGUUAUCCGGAUUUAUUGGGUUUAAAGGGAGCGUAGGCGGUCUGUUAAGUCAGCGGUUAAAUGUCAGUGCCCAACAUUGGCAUGCCGUUGAAACUGUCGGACUUGAAUACACACAAGGAAGGUGGAAUUCGUCGUGUAGCGGUGAAAUGCUUAGAUAUGACGAAGAACUCCGAUUGCGAAGGCAGCCUUCUGGGGUGCGAUUGACGCUGAGGCUCGAAAGUGCGGGAAUCAAACAGGAUUAGAUACCCUGGUA
This 453-nucleotide ribosomal RNA is filed under the name uncultured Paraprevotella sp. RNAcentral's name for it is "bacterial SSU rRNA". It matches the Rfam family "Bacterial small subunit ribosomal RNA", at positions 341 to 792 of the family's 1533-position model. Lineage: Bacteria; Pseudomonadati; Bacteroidota; Bacteroidia; Bacteroidales; Prevotellaceae. The record is from RNAcentral.